RNAcentral lists this ribosomal RNA (469 nucleotides) under uncultured bacterium. RNAcentral describes it as "bacterial SSU rRNA". It matches the Rfam family "Bacterial small subunit ribosomal RNA", at positions 28 to 497 of the family's 1533-position model. The record is from RNAcentral.
GAUGAACGCUGGCGGCGUGCUUAACACAUGCAAGUCGAACGAAGCACUUUGGACAGAUUCUUCGGAUGAAGUCUUUGGUGACUGAGUGGCGGACGGGUGAGUAACGCGUGGGUAACCUGCCUCAUACAGGGGGAUAACAGUUAGAAAUGGCUGCUAAUACCGCAUAAGCGCACGGUGCUGCAUGGUACAGUGUGAAAAACUCCGGUGGUAUGAGAUGGACCCGCGUUGGAUUAGCUAGUUGGCAGGGUAACGGCCUACCAAGGCGACGAUCCAUAGCCGGCCUGAGAGGGUGGACGGCCACAUUGGGACUGAGACACGGCCCAGACUCCUACGGGAGGCAGCAGUGGGGAAUAUUGCACAAUGGGGGAAACCCUGAUGCAGCGACGCCGCGUGAGCGAAGAAGUAUUUCGGUAUGUAAAGCUCUAUCAGCAGGGAAGAAAAUGACGGUACCUGACUAAGAAGCCCCGGC